RNAcentral lists this ribosomal RNA (453 nucleotides) under uncultured bacterium. Its description in RNAcentral is "bacterial SSU rRNA". It matches the Rfam family "Bacterial small subunit ribosomal RNA", at positions 29 to 524 of the family's 1533-position model. The record is from RNAcentral.
AGCGAACGCUGGCGGCAGGCCUAACACAUGCAAGUCGAACGGGCGUAGCAAUACGUCAGUGGCAGACGGGUGAGUAACGCGUGGGAACGUACCUUUUGGUUCGGAACAACCCAGGGAAACUUGGGCUAAUACCGGAUAAGCCCUUACGGGGAAAGAUUUAUCGCCGAAAGAUCGGCCCGCGUCUGAUUAGCUAGUUGGUGAGGUAACGGCUCACCAAGGCGACGAUCAGUAGCUGGUCUGAGAGGAUGAUCAGCCUCAUUGGGACUGAGACACGGCCCAAACUCCUACGGGAGGCAGCAGUGGGGAAUAUUGGACAAUGGGCGCAAGCCUGAUCCAGCCAUGCCGCGUGGGUGAUGAAGGCCCUAGGGUUGUAAAGCCCUUUCGGCGGGGAAGAUAAUGACGGUACCCGCAGAAGAAAGCCCCGGCUAACUUCGUGCCAGCCGCCGCGGUAAU